This is a long non-coding RNA of Syngnathus typhle (broad-nosed pipefish), 508 nucleotides long. RefSeq lists it as uncharacterized. The record is from RefSeq and is a predicted model, not a curated record. The transcript is spliced from 3 exons. NCBI's taxonomy places the organism in Eukaryota, Metazoa, Chordata, Actinopteri, Syngnathiformes, Syngnathidae.
UGUCGUGGACGUAGCGAUUUCGAAACAACGUCAAUAGUAACACUUAAACAAAAACAUCCCUCAAAACCGGAUACGAAUUUCUUCAAAAUACUCCCUGACCCGGCGGAGGGAUAUCGGCAUUUAGUAAAUAAAAUAAUGGCGGGCGGGGCGGAAAAUAUGGCGCUCGGAAGGCAGACGGGCUGGAAGGGAGCGCGUCGAGUACGGCCAAUAGAUCUGAUGACGUAACCAUGUUGCUCAGCAGAUGCACGGUGUCAGGCUGCCUCCCAUCAGGAUGCAACCUUCGGAUUGAAGCGAGCUGCUACCCGCAGACCUGCUCACGUUUGUGAAGGGUAUUUUCGUCAUCGUGAGAAACUUCCCAUGUCAUUUCCCCCCCCCAUGAGAAUGGUGGAUGAAGGUGAUUGUGUGGAUCUGAGUGGAGGUGAGCGGCCAUUUAUGGUUGCUAUGGUAAAAAAAAAAAAAAUUACCUUCAGAGACACUCAGGCUGGCAGAUGGAGCGAUUCAAGCGUGC